GGGGAUUUAGCUCAGUGGCACUGUGCUUGCCUCACAAGCACAAGGUCCUGGGUUCAAUCCCCAGUAAUCCCA
Heterocephalus glaber (naked mole-rat) is the source of this 72-nucleotide non-coding RNA. Lineage: Eukaryota; Metazoa; Chordata; Mammalia; Rodentia; Bathyergidae. The record is from Rfam.